This is a long non-coding RNA of Melospiza melodia melodia, 2729 nucleotides long. RefSeq lists it as uncharacterized. The transcript is spliced from 6 exons. The record is from RefSeq and is a predicted model, not a curated record. Lineage: Eukaryota; Metazoa; Chordata; Aves; Passeriformes; Passerellidae.
AGGGGCGCGUUGAGAAUGGGAAAUGGGGGAUCCUGAAAGGGUUUGAACCGCACAUGGAGCUGUGGGCCGCCAGAAGUCAAACUCUCAAAGAUUAGAUUGGAGAAGACUUCUGAGGUCAUCGAGUCCAGCCUGUGACGAACGCCACCUGUUCAACAGACCAUGGCAUCAGUGCCGCAUCCAGUUUCUUCUUAAACAGCUCCAGCGACGGUACCCCUCCCACCUCCCUGGGCAGCCCAUUCCCAUCUCUAAUCGCCCUCUCAGUGAAGAAAUCCCUCCCAACAUCCAGAAUAAGCCUCCCCUGGCACAGCUGAGGGCUGUGUCCUCCAGUCGUGUCCCCGGUUGCCUGGGAGAAGAGACCAGCCCCAGGCAGGAGCAGAGUGUCCAGGUUUCAGCCCCAUGGCAGCGGGCGCUCAAGCCAGACCCCAGGUCCUUGAGUUGCAUUGGAGGGAGAGCACAGAGCUCCUCACUGCAAGGUCUCCCUGCAGGGCAACCAGUAUGGCUUGAGACAAGUGCAGUUUCUGUGCUGAAGCCAUCCUGAAGAUUGGCAGUGGGGUGACAGUGGUUAGCACAGCACGCCUCUGGCCUUCUGCACUGGUCCUGAACAUUGAGAUCAACAAUGCAGAGAAGAAUAAAUUGCAUUUUCAUUCUUCUUUAUCAAGGCAAGUGAUUGACAUUUUAUCUAUUGCAUCUGCUCAAAGGACAAUCUCAUGAGAGGUGUGUUUGGGGCCUACUUGUUUAACCUGGAGGAUGUACUACAUUCUGUAGAUUUUCUGUAAUGAAAGAUUUUUAUAAGAAGUCACUAAUCUUCUUUGCUUGACUACUUCCUUUUAUAUUUCAGAAGGAAAUCAGGAUUCUUUCUUUAGAGAAUUUUGGAUUCAGCCCUUUUGCAAAUCUGCAAAUCUUAUCAAACAAUACAUUCAAGGAGUCAAAGGACAGAAAAUUUGAGACUGCAAGAGAGCCAAGAUUUUACCCUCAUGAAUUCUGAAGCUGAUGAUGACUGUGGAUAAGGUCAGUUGCUGUGCUAUAAUGAUAUCCCUGACUGACAUGGAUCAGUAUCAGUCUGAGGAAAAGCCUGGUGCACAUGCCUCCCAAAUGCCUCAAUUACUAUAGCAGAAGAACCAGCAGGAUUUGCAGAAGCCUUUGCAAACGAUUUACUUACAGUGGAUCAGGGCAGUAUUCAGGUUGCAGCAGCCUUCUUCCUUGUAUUUGUGCCCACUGCCUCUUGGCCUGCCCUUGGGAACCACUUAGAAGAACCUGGCUUCCUCUUCUUUAAGUCACCAUAUCAGUUAUACAUAUGGAUAAGAUCCCCUUGAACCUUCUCUAGGCUAAAUGAUCCUGUCUUUCUGUGUCUGCACAUGACAUUUCCUUGUCUUGAAUUUAUGAGGUUUCUGUCUGGACAACUCUGGUCUGUUGAAGUCAGUGCAUGGGACAGAACCAUCUGCUGUAUUUACUGAUGUUGUAACUUAAUCUGAUGAAGGGAGUAGGAGGAACUUUGAUGGAUCAACAGGAAACAGUUUAUGCCAUAGCAGGUUCCUGCACCUCUUCCAGGAUAGUGGAAUAGAGUAUAUAGUCCCUGAGGACUAUAUUUGCAGCUGGCUUCCUUUCUGAUAGACAUCACCAGUGCAGCAGGGCCUGAACUGAGCGUUGGAUUGCACAUGGCCUCUGGGGACAGUGAGUCUGGUGGCUGCAGCUCUCCAGGCUCUGAAGUGCUGAUCCCUAUAGGAGUAUAUUCAGUGGUCAUGUGAGACACCCUGAGAGCUGCUCCUUCCUCACCCAAGGAAGAGACAGCAGGCCAGGGGGAAUGUCCCAUUGCCACCAUUUGGACUUUGAUUAGAUGAACUAGGUCUUUUGUUCAGAAACCCAAUGCAUUUCUUCUUAGGAAAUAUCAAAAUCUGCUUGUGGCUUUUUUUUCCCCAUCUCUUUAAACAAACCAAUACCUGCAAUAAAAUGUUCUUUUUCAGAGGCUGUUCAGCUGCACAGGUGUGCAGCCUUGAAAGAAGAGUAAGACAUCUUAUGUCACAGGUUAAUGACCUUUUUGCAGCCAGAGUUCCAGUUUAUGAUGUGCUAAAAAUAAACUUUAAGGCUGUGCCUCAUUAAUUCACAACAUCAGUGAUAAAUCAGCAUAAUCAUAUUGGCAAAUCCUGUAUCAGUUUUUCUUUGUGGGAACAGAACUGUCUGGCUUCCCAGACACUAGUAAGAUUCUUUGAAUAAUAAUUUGUGUGCCUGUUUGAGCCAAAGCAAGCUCAUACUCAUGUAAUGAAAGACUAUUGUCAAGAGGUCUCACUGGUGUUUCUUUGUGUUCCUGUUUUUCUCACCGAGUUCCCCUGUGUUCCUCUCCCUCCUGGUUAGGUGUGGCAGCAGAGACAUACUGCUUCUGAAGAGGCUGGGUGGAAGCACAGCAAGUUGAGGCAACAGCAGUUUAACUUCCCUUAGGAGAUGCCUUUUAAACUCUAACCAAUGAUUUUGAGAGGCUACGCUUUCACCUCAGCUUUCUUAUUUCUCACACUCAAAAAAAGCUUAUGUGUUAGAAAUGAGCCCUUAGCAAGAUGAGUAGCUCAUCAGCAUGCAAGACAAACAUCAGUAUAAUUGCAGAGCAAUGAAAAAACCACCAUCUUUUUACUAAAAAAUAGCAGAAUCCUGGAAAUUUCAGUUUAUCUCAUCUCAUCUCACUGUUUUACACAGAAGAGUGUGGUAAUGUGGCUGAAAGUAGACCUUUGUACUUACAUACA